Molecule: long non-coding RNA, 1921 nt
Filed under: Sinocyclocheilus grahami
Lineage: Eukaryota; Metazoa; Chordata; Actinopteri; Cypriniformes; Cyprinidae
Description: lncRNA (ENSSGRG00000051947.1)
Source: RNAcentral
UGACGCUCUGGGUGGAUCCACCUCCAGAAACACUGAUGCUGAUGAUAAAUACUGCUGUCAUCUCGAUCAGAGCACAUUCACUGCUUCAUCAUGGACAUCGAUCUGUGCUCAGCUGCUGAGGGUGAUGAGGUGAAGAAGCAGGAGGGCAACGAGGUGGAGUCUGGAAAAAAGGAUGAAGAUAAAGACAAAGGUCAAGAAGAUAAAGAUAAAGAGUGCAAGGACAAAGAUAGUGACAAGGCGAAGAGUGAUUGCAAAGAAAAGAAAAAAGACAAAGAGUGCAAAGACAAAGAUAAGGACAAGUGCAAAGACAAGAGUGAUUCUAAGCAUAAGGAUGAACACAAGAAGCACAAAGAUAAAGAACAUAAAGACAAAGGCAAGAAGAAGAAGAAAGACAAGGAACACAAGAAGAAGGGCGGUGGCAAGUCCUCCUCUUCCUCCAGCGAUUCGGACUGAAGCAAGAUUCAUCAGAUACCUCCAGAAACAUAAUGUAAAAAUCUUUUAUUGUAUGAUUUAUAUGACAAUCUCUUGAAGUUUUCAUCAAGUUAUUGAGCUGUGAUUCCAAACUUCCUCAAGGUGGCGCUACCUACAUGUCAAAUCUUCAGUGAAACACUGGAAUAAAGAGACUUGUCUGCUAUUUUUGUAAAACUGUUUGCUGGUUUAAUAAAUUCUGAUGUUUGAAAUAGUUUUAUCCAUUUAGUCUCAUACUGGCUUUCAGUGGUUGCUGGUUAGUGGGCUAUUAGUGUUUUGAUAAAUCUUGGCCGGUUUGACGUACACACAAGUCAUAUUUGAUCAAUGUAUGUGUGUAACAAUCAAAUUAAGGCAUUCAGCACAAAUGAAUUGAUAUGUAUUGUCAAAACAAGGCUUCGUGUAGUAACUUGGUUAAUUCACCAUGACAAAAGUCAGUAGUCAACACGACAGUAUCUUUGUCUAAACAGCACGCUUCUGCAAAUGCAUGGUUGAUUUGGAAGGUUUCAGCACGAUCUGUUUGCUUAUUCAUCUACGUUUGAGUACGGCACAGAUAAUUCAUCUGAACAGCAGGACGAAACGCAGGCUGCUUCCAAACACUGUUUUGGACGCUCUUUGCUGGGCUGAAGACAACUGCAUGCCAGAGAUAAGAGAACCGGGCGAUGGUUGCCCAGAGGCGGAAGAGAGGGAGAUGUCUCUCUGUCCAUCAGACUGAGACAGUCUUUCUCUCUUAUUCGGUGCCAAACGCCUGCAGGAUAGAUGCAAAGCACAGUGUAGCAUUUUUUUUCCCAGCACCACCCCGUCGAGCUUUCACAUGCAUAUUUCAUCAAACACACUGAAGAUGCUGAAAGUUGAAUCCGGGGGAAAGUUGGCUUGUUUCGGCCGUUUGAGAUGUCCGGGUCAGAGAUCUGAACAUCUGCUGCUCUGCACGUUUCUCACAGAAGAGGGGUGUAAAUGCAGAGGCGUUUGUUUCAGAGGUUACUUAGCUGGAGUUUGAGGACAAAUUGCUGCCAAAAGUAACUAAAUCGGACAAAGGUUAGUGGGCUAUUAGUGUUUUGAUAAAUCUUGGCCGGUUUGACGUACACACACAAGUCAUAUUUGAUCAAUGUAUGUGUGUAACAAUCAAAUUAAGGCAUUCAGCACAAAUGAAUUGAUAUGUAUUGUCAAAACAAGGCUUCGUGUAGUAACUUGGUUAAUUCACCAUGACAAAAGUCAGUAGUCAACACGACAGUAUCUUUGUCUAAACAGCACGCUUCUGCAAAUGCAUGGUUGAUUUGGAAGGUUUCAGCACGAUCUGUUUGCUUAUUCAUCUACGUUUGAGUACGGCACAGAUAAUUCAUCUGAACAGCAGGACGAAACGCAGGCUGCUUCCAAACACUGUUUUGGACGCUCUUUGCUGGGCUGAAGACAACUGCAUGCCAGAGAUAAGAGAACCGGGCGAUGGUUGCCCAGAGGC